This 774-nucleotide ribosomal RNA is filed under the name uncultured Neocallimastigales. RNAcentral describes it as "partial large subunit ribosomal RNA". It matches the Rfam family "Eukaryotic large subunit ribosomal RNA", at positions 24 to 642 of the family's 3401-position model. Lineage: Eukaryota; Fungi; Neocallimastigomycota; Neocallimastigomycetes; Neocallimastigales. The record is from RNAcentral.
UAUCUCUGUAGAGUCUGCAUAUCAAUAAGCGGAGGAAAAGAAACUAACAAGGAUUCCCUUAGUAACGGCGAGUGAAGCGGGAAGAGCUCAAAUUUGAAAUCUUCAAGGUUUGACCUUGACGAAUUGUAGUUUAAAGAAGUGUUUUCGGUUAGAGGAGUAGUAAAAGUUCUUUGGAAUAGGACAUCAUAGAGGGUGAGAAUCCCGUAUUUGACUAUUCUUUCUAGCUUUGUGAUACACUUUCAAAGAGUCGGAUUGUUUGGGAAUGCAGUCCAAAAUGGGUGGUAAAUUUCAUCUAAAGCUAAAUAUUGGCGAGAGACCGAUAGCGAACAAGUACCGUGAGGGAAAGAUGAAAAGAACUUUGAAAAGAGAGUUAAACAGUACGUGAAAUUGUCAAAAGGGAAGCGUUUGACACCAGUGUUGUUUUUCCGAAAAUCAAUUAAAAAUUGAUUCAUGCCAGGUUGUAUUGACCUUAUCAGCUUGCAAUUUGGUUUUGGGUCUCUUUUUGAUGCACUUUUCGGUUAACAAGUCAACAUCAAUUUCCUUUGCUGUAAAAAGGUAAGAGGAAGGUGGCUUCAAUUUCGGUUGAAGUGUUUAUAGCCUUUUAUCUCUGCAGUCGGGGAGAUUGAGGUCUGCAGCGUAGAUCCUUCGGGGCUAGAUACAUUUAUGCUAAGUUAUAGCUUUUCAUAGACAACUUGUUGACUAUGUUUAGUCAUGUAGCUUACUCGUAAGUGCUGUUUUACCUACGCUUAGGAUGUUGAAGACUCUACAGAGAUA